Molecule: ribosomal RNA, 708 nt
Filed under: Euphorbia potentilloides
Lineage: Eukaryota; Viridiplantae; Streptophyta; Magnoliopsida; Malpighiales; Euphorbiaceae
Description: eukaryotic LSU rRNA
Rfam family: 5.8S ribosomal RNA (bases 300-455)
Source: RNAcentral
UAACAAGGUUUCCGUAGGUGAACCUGCGGAAGGAUCAUUGUCGAAACCUGCACAGCAGAACAACCCGUGAACAUGUUUUAUAAAACGAGGGGUCCAAAGCUGGGUCCUUCACAAGGCCUCGACCAGGGUAUUAAGGUGUGUAGGCUUGUCCUUCUAUCUUAAAUAUCUUGGUCGUGGCCUGCUAACAAACCCCCGGCGCGGAAUGCGCCAAGGAAUUACAAACAAAAAGCUCGGACACCUCGAUUGCCUCGGAAACGGUGUGCAAAAGGGAUGUGUCGUAGCACUUUGAGAAUCUAAACGACUCUCGGCAACGGAUAUCUCGGCUCUCGCAUCGAUGAAGAACGCAGCGAAAUGCGAUACUUGGUGUGAAUUGCAGGAUCCCGUGAACCAUCGAGUUUUUGAACGCAAGUUGCGCCCGAAGCCUUUUGGCCGAGGGCACGUCUGCCUGGGUGUCACUCAAUCGUCGCUCCGAUCCUUAUUUUUGGAAAGGGGCGGAAGAUGGCCUCCCGUGUGCUAUUCGCAUGUGGUUGGCCUAAAUAUCCGGUCCCUGGCAUCGAUGCCACGGUAAUCGGUGGUUGUAUGACCCUCGCAUAAUGCUGUGAGCAUCGGGUGUUGAUGAGACUAAUGAGGCCCAAAAGCUAUCCUAUGGAUAUGCUCGGAAUGCGACCCCAGGUCAGGCGGGACUACCCGCUGAGUUUAAGCAUAUCA